RNAcentral lists this ribosomal RNA (309 nucleotides) under uncultured eukaryote. Its description in RNAcentral is "partial large subunit ribosomal RNA". It matches the Rfam family "Eukaryotic large subunit ribosomal RNA", at positions 40 to 350 of the family's 3401-position model. The record is from RNAcentral.
AUAUCAAUAAGGCGAGGAACAGAAACCAACCGGGAUUCCCCCAGUAGUGGCGAAUGAAGUGGGAAAAGCUCAAGUUUGAAAUCUGGCUUCAGUCAGAGUUGUAAGCUGAAGAGGCUUCGACCGAUGUGGCUUGGGCUCAAUUCCCUUGGGAUAGGGAGUCAUGGAGGGUGAGAACCCCGUCUUCACUCGAGCUCCUUCGCCAAUGUGAUGCGCUUUCGACGAGUCGGGUUGUUUGGGAAUGCAGCCCAAAACGGGUGGCAAAUCUCAUCUAAGGCUAAAUAUCGGUGGGAGACCGAUAGCGCACAAGUA